AAAGAAUGCUUGACUUUCAUGGACAUGCUUAAUGAUCUUGGCUUCGAUAAAAACCACCAAAAAUACUGCUUUAAACGAAUGACGACGAUUGCGAUCAGAACAAUUUACUAUAUAUUUUGCUGCAGAAACAAAGAAUGGACAAAUCCGGAACUAUUAACCUUUUAAAAAUUGUACUAUAUAUUUGUUGUUUGUUAUUAUUGUUAUAUUGUGUAUGUAUAGUUAUUAUUGAUUCGAGUAGA
Molecule: non-coding RNA, 239 nt
Organism: Paramuricea clavata
Lineage: Eukaryota; Metazoa; Cnidaria; Anthozoa; Malacalcyonacea; Plexauridae
Source: the annotation of a GenBank genome assembly